This 738-nucleotide long non-coding RNA is filed under the name Olea europaea (common olive). RNAcentral's name for it is "long non-coding RNA (OEUR_LNC006508)". Lineage: Eukaryota; Viridiplantae; Streptophyta; Magnoliopsida; Lamiales; Oleaceae. The record is from RNAcentral.
GGAAACUGGUGGAGUCUCCAUACAAAGAAUCAGUUGAUUGGUCGAAAUGGCUCAUCUUUUGGGUGGAUGAGAGGGUGGUUCCUUUGACUAGUGAUGACAGUAAUUAUAAACUUGCAUAUGAUGGUUUUCUUUCGAAGGUACACAAAAUUUCGAAAUAUUUUCUGUCUGCAAAAUUGAAUGCAUAUCAGUUCAUGUAAUUUUGUCAGUUGAAAUCCAAUUGUUUUAAAGAUAUGUGCAGUAAAUCCAGGCAAAAGUACUAAUUCAAGUUUCGCUACUCCUAUUUUGUGAAGAAGUUGCAACUUUUUAUGAAUAUAUGAAUCAACAUGCACUAGAGGUGUUUUAACUCUGUGUCCCCUUUCAAAUAGCUUAAAAGGUAACACACAUUAGGAGUAAUCCAGUUCGACCAUCCUCACGUCUAGCUAAUGUAGGAAAACAAAAACCUACCUUCCCAAAGAAAAUAUUUUCCUCAAAAACGGAAAGCUAAUCAUAUUUUCAAAGGUUGAAAAAUAACUUUAAUGGAAAAAAUUUGGCAAUCAAACAUGCCAAAGGUUAGAAUUCGAGUAGAAAAAGGCAAUUUUCGACAGAAAAUUCUCCAAUCAAAUACACCCUAAAUAUUAGAAAAAGAACUGUGAAUAUUAAAGUAUUGAGAAUUGAGUUGAAAAUCAGUGUAUGCUAUGUGUGGAACAAAUUUUCCGGUCAUGUUUGGAAUCAGGUGUAUGCAGAAUGUUAAGAGCGUUG